RNAcentral lists this transfer RNA (58 nucleotides) under Emiliania huxleyi. RNAcentral's name for it is "partial tRNA". It matches the Rfam family "tRNA", at positions 7 to 60 of the family's 71-position model. From Rfam's summary of the family: Transfer RNA (tRNA) molecules are approximately 80 nucleotides in length. Their secondary structure includes four short double-helical elements and three loops (D, anti-codon, and T loops). The record is from RNAcentral. Lineage: Eukaryota; Haptophyta; Isochrysidales; Noelaerhabdaceae.
GAUAGAGCAGUUUGGUAGCUCGUCGGGCUCAUAACCCGAAGGUCAAUGGUUCAAAUCC